AAGAAAAAGGAAAAGAAGAAGGGAAAAAGAAGAGGAAAGGAGGGAUAUUGCACGAAUUGGAGCUCAAGUGUGGGGAUUAUUCAUUUCAAAUUUUCAGCAAGGAGGUAACGAGGCGAUUGGAAACGUCUAUCAGUCUAUCUAACUUGUAGCUCAUACCUUGAGAAGGUUGAUUUUGAGAUAUUUGGAAAAGCCUGCUGAAGCAAAAGAGACCGUUUCCUAAGUAUGUAAUGAAUAGUUGGGAGACUUAUGUUUAUUAAGUAAUUGUCUAAUUUUGGGUGACAAGCAUAUUCGUAGAAGGGUUUGUAAGUGAUGUAAUACUUGCAUGUUGACAUGAUAAUGUUGUAGAAAUAUUCAGUCGAAUUUUGUUAUAUUCUGUAGUAGUUGUGGUGGUAUUAGAGGAAGUGGUGGUUUUCAAAACUUUUGGUUUAAAUGUCUAUUUGAGAUUUUGAUAAUUUUUCAGGUUGGUUUUGUCUAUGUUACAAGGGAAAUUUUAUCAAAAUUUUCAUAGAAAUUAGCACAGUCAAAAUAGGUCAAGUUUGCCUUGGUGGUAGGUCCGGCAUUUAGCUGGCAUCUACUACUGGCGUACAACACGUGUCGAGUCAAUUAGGUUGAGUCGGGACGGGUCGUGUCAG
This is a long non-coding RNA of Olea europaea var. sylvestris, 632 nucleotides long. RefSeq lists it as uncharacterized. The record is from RefSeq and is a predicted model, not a curated record. The transcript is spliced from 4 exons. Lineage: Eukaryota; Viridiplantae; Streptophyta; Magnoliopsida; Lamiales; Oleaceae.